Molecule: ribosomal RNA, 736 nt
Filed under: Mycetocola sp.
Lineage: Bacteria; Bacillati; Actinomycetota; Actinomycetes; Micrococcales; Microbacteriaceae
Description: bacterial SSU rRNA
Rfam family: Bacterial small subunit ribosomal RNA
Source: RNAcentral
CAGAGCUUGCUCUGCUGAUCAGUGGCGAACGGGUGAGUAACACGUGAGUAACCUGCCCUUGACUCUGGGAUAAGCGCUGGAAACGGCGUCUAAUACCGGAUACGACCUUCCCCGGCAUCGGGUGGGGGUGGAAAGAUUUUUUGGUCAAGGAUGGACUCGCGGCCUAUCAGCUUGUUGGUGAGGUAAUGGCUCACCAAGGCGACGACGGGUAGCCGGCCUGAGAGGGUGACCGGCCACACUGGGACUGAGACACGGCCCAGACUCCUACGGGAGGCAGCAGUGGGGAAUAUUGCACAAUGGGCGAAAGCCUGAUGCAGCAACGCCGCGUGAGGGAUGACGGCCUUCGGGUUGUAAACCUCUUUUGGCAGGGAAGAAGCGAAAGUGACGGUACCUGCAGAAAAAGCACCGGCUAACUACGUGCCAGCAGCCGCGGUAAUACGUAGGGUGCGAGCGUUGUCCGGAAUUAUUGGGCGUAAAGAGCUCGUAGGCGGUUUGUCGCGUCUGCUGUGAAAUCCCGAGGCUCAACCUCGGGCCUGCAGUGGGUACGGGCAAACUAGAGUGCAGUAGGGGAGACUGGAAUUCCUGGUGUAGCGGUGGAAUGCGCAGAUAUCAGGAGGAACACCGAUGGCGAAGGCAGGUCUCUGGGCUGUAACUGACGCUGAGGAGCGAAAGCGUGGGGAGCGAACAGGAUUAGAUACCCUGGUAGUCCACGCCGUAAACGUUGGGCGCUAGAUGU